Molecule: long non-coding RNA, 375 nt
Organism: Morus notabilis
Lineage: Eukaryota; Viridiplantae; Streptophyta; Magnoliopsida; Rosales; Moraceae
Exons: 3
Source: RefSeq, a predicted model, not a curated record
AUGACAAUAAGAAGAAUGGAUCAAGUUGUGGUGGUGGCGUGCUAGAAUCAGUUAGCCGAAAAGGAUCAUCCCAUAAGCAUAGGCUACAAAGCAGAAAGGAUUCCAUCAAUAUAAACAAGAAAGUCGCCUCUCCUAGCAUUACAAAGAAGGUUGCUGCUCCAGAUCGUUCCCAAACUAGUGGAGCCAAUUCUUCUACUCCAGGAACUGCUGUAAGUAAUCAGGGGAAGACAGAUCUUCGCGAUGAACCAUCUCAGAAGCAUGGAGUGGUUGGCCCCACAAAUGAUGCAAAGCAGCAAUCUUCCGGAUCAUGUGAGGGAAAUUCUUCCCAGAUUGAAGCAUUUUCUUUAACUAAUGGCAUCAUUCCUCCACCGCCUA